AUGUGUGGAGGCCAGAAGCAACUUUUCAAAGCUCUGGAGCAGUGUAGCCCUGACAGACACAGAGGCUUCUCCUGUCACAUCCUCCAGCAGCUGCAGUGGCUCGUUAGGGAAGUGAAUACAGCCAGCAAGAGACUUGAGAUAGUAGAUGACUUCAGGAAGCGUGCUGAAGACAAAGAUAUCCAAGCAAUUGUCUCUGAGAUCCUUCCCGUCCCAUGAGCAAAGGAAGACAGAGGGCAGAAGAUUCUGGAAGUGAACUGCUGGCUAGGAACAAUGAAGAGCUUGGGAGAUAUGAUUGGGUGCAACAUUGGAUAUGCUUAUGUAACCCACACACCUCCUGGGUGUGGUGUUCUGUCCCAACUAGUGGCACCGAGACCACUUAGCCCUGGUCUACACUACAAGUUUAGGUCGAAUUUAGCAGCGUUAGAUCGAUCUAACCCUGCACCCAUCCACACAACGAACCAUUUUUGUCGACUUAAAGGAACCAAUACCCUCCCAACCCUCCCAAGGUGGGCUCCCGGACCUUGAAGGUGGAGAAGGCACCUCUGCUGCAAAUGUUUCAGCGCUCCCCCAAUCAUCUCCAUCCCAGAGGCUAGCGCAAAUAAGAAGGUGAAAAAAAUGCACUCGCAAUGAAAUGUUCUCUGAGCUCAUGCAGACUUCCCGCACUGAAAAAGCUCAGCAGAAUGUGUGGAGGCAGACAAUUGCAGCAUUCAGGAAAGGAGAAAAUGAACACGAGGAAAGGUGGCAGGAGCAAGAUGAUAGGUGGCAGCAGCUUGAUGAGAGGAGGCAGGAGGCAAUGCUGAGGCUACUGGAGGAUCAAACUGAUAUGCUCCGGCGUAUGGUUGAGCUGCAGGAAAGAGCACAUACCGCUGCUGCAGCCACUGUGUAACCGCCCACCCUCCUCCCCAAGUUCCAUAGCCUCCUCACCCAGACGCCCAAGAACGCGGGGGGGGUGUCUCCGGGUACCCAACCACUCCACCCCAGAGGACUUCCCAAGCAACAGAAGGCUGGCAUUCAAUAAGUUUUGAAGUGCAGUGUGGCCCUGUCCUUCCCUCCUCCCCUCCUCCCCCACCUCACCUGGUGCUUCUCUCCUCCCCCACCCCUCCUGGGCUAGCUUGGCAGUUAUCCCCCUAUUUGUGUGACGAAUUA
This is a long non-coding RNA of Caretta caretta (loggerhead turtle), 1146 nucleotides long. RefSeq lists it as uncharacterized. The record is from RefSeq and is a predicted model, not a curated record. NCBI's taxonomy places the organism in Eukaryota, Metazoa, Chordata, Testudines, Cheloniidae.